RNAcentral lists this ribosomal RNA (253 nucleotides) under uncultured bacterium. Its description in RNAcentral is "partial 16S ribosomal RNA". It matches the Rfam family "Bacterial small subunit ribosomal RNA", at positions 524 to 776 of the family's 1533-position model. The record is from RNAcentral.
UACGUAGGGUGCGAGCGUUGUCCGGAAUUAUUGGGCGUAAAGAGCUCGUAGGCGGUCUGUCGCGUCGGUCGUGAAAACUUGGGGCUUAACCCUGAGCUUGCGGUCGAUACGGGCAUGACUGGAGUUCGGCAGGGGAGACUGAAUUCCUGGUGUAGCGGUGAAAUGCGCAGAUAUCAGGAGGAACACCGGUGGCGAAGGCGGCUCACUGGACCAUAACUGACGCUGAGGCACGAAAGCUAGGGGAGCAAACAGG